UUUGCCGUGAGGCAUGCAGUGAAGUAAGCCAGACUGCGGUGUCUGUACUGACGAACAGGAACCAUAUACGGAGGCUACGAGGUCGGAUGAGGUGACACAUCACACCGAAGUCCAAACCUUCCGUAAGGGAGGAAGUGCCGAAGUAGUAGAU
RNAcentral lists this non-coding RNA (151 nucleotides) under Mongoliibacter ruber. Lineage: Bacteria; Pseudomonadati; Bacteroidota; Cytophagia; Cytophagales; Cyclobacteriaceae. The record is from RNAcentral.